AAAUUGAUAAGGUUGGAUUGCCAAACUUUAUGAUAAGGUUGCAUUGUCAAACUUUAUUCAGACUAAAAUCUAUCGCUUACCUGAAAGAAAUUGAUAAGGUUGGAUUGUCAAACUUUAUUCAAACUAAAAUCUCAUCGCUUACCUGAAAGAUUCACUUUGGUCGGGUAUUUGUAAACUCGGUUGUUGGAUUGAACUGGAUGGCUUGGAGCGGGCAACCCGGGUAAUCGAAUACCCACGUACAAACCCGACAAGAACCGCCGAGAGAUCGAAGACUGGGACAGUGGUAAUUGGGACGAUGGCAUCAACAGUUCAUACUUUGAGAAAUUUUGGGCAAAAAGAAAGUUUGGUCGACAUUAUCAUAUGAAUUUUUACAGAUACCAUUGAUUUGCAUGAAAUUAUAUGAAUCAUGAAUGCCAUAGCUACUAUACCCAGAUGUUUAAAUCAUGUUUUGGUCGAUACCCAGUGGUGCUAAGUGCUGUAAUUUGUUCCACACGUCUGGUGUUUGACAAAAUGUCUAACCGGAAAUGUUGAGUUGAACAAAGAGUUUGCAGCUUUUAUCAUUGUUUUCACGUGUUUAAUGGUUCAAUUGGGAAACUAGAAGAGAGAAAAGAAAAGAAAAAAAAAAGUCUUUAAACAAGCUCUUGUCAGAAGAUAAGAAGUUUGACUUUGUGAUGAAAUGAAAUUGAGAGAAUAGAAUGGUGAAGAGGAAGGUAAUGAAGGCAUUGAAAGAUAAAGAUGAUGACGAGGACAACAAUUGAUGCUGGUUGGUUCACAGGGGUAUUCCGGCCUCAUUUAUUUGUACAAGUUGGUUUGUGUUUUUGGUGAGAGUCGCUCUAUCUCUCCAUCCUUGCGUUGGUGCCGGUAAGUGGCAUCCAAGUAUGGGGACUUUGAAGCACAGAGGCAUUGGAUAGCACUGCCAACGAUCUGAGCUACUGGGGACUUGACUACCCUCCCCUUACUGCCUACCAUAAUAAUGUUCAGGGUCUUUUCUUUAGAAACUUCCAUCCAGGUUCUGCUUCACUUUACACUUCUCGUGGCCACGAGUCCUAUCUUGGGUUUGUAUCAUAACAGUACAUCUUGAUUAAUAGUAUUGAGAUCUUUAUUUUUGCCAUUCUCUUAAUUAUUAAAUUAUUCCAUCAAUUGUUUCAGCUGCUCAAUGUUUUGCCCUGCAGAAAGCUGCUCAUGAGGUGGACAGUCUUGUCCUCUGACAUGUUGAUGUUCUUUCCUGCAGUUUUUUUAUUUUGUUAUCAUGUACUAUUCUGGUACUUACAGUGGACGUAAAAGUGAUGUUGCAUGGCACAUUGCAAUGAUUUUGCUUAACCCAUGUCUGAUACUGAUUGACCAUGGUCAUUUUCAGUACAAUUGUAUUAGCUUAGGGCUUGUUGUUGGAGCUGUUGCCCCCAUCCUCUCUAACACAGACCUUUUGGCUUGUGUCCUGUUUUGUCUCGCUCUUAAUCACAAACAGAUGAGUGCCUAUUUUGCUCGUGCAUUUUUCAGCCAUCUUUUGGGUAAAUGCCCAAGGCAUCGGAACCCAUUUCUUCCAGUGUCAAAACUUAGCUUGGUGGUCUUAAGAACAUUUGCCCUUGUUUGGUGGCCAUAUCUGCGGUCGGUGACAGUGUUUUUGGAGGUUAACAUCAGCAAGUAUGCAAUUGUUUUUAUUUUGUUUGUUUUAUUUGUCUUUGAUUAGUUGUUUCUGGGAUUAGAUCCGUGUCCAAAUUUUAUUUUAUCUUUUGUUCUUGAGUUGAGAUAAAGAUGUGGAAAACCAUACUCACAAUUUAGUAUAUGAAAUUUUGUUGAGAUUAAACAGAUCAUCUGAAAUACAGAUCUUUGGUAUA
Molecule: non-coding RNA, 1835 nt
Organism: Camellia sinensis
Lineage: Eukaryota; Viridiplantae; Streptophyta; Magnoliopsida; Ericales; Theaceae
Source: RefSeq, a predicted model, not a curated record